This 88-nucleotide small RNA is filed under the name Arabidopsis thaliana (thale cress). RNAcentral's name for it is "ATSL112520". Lineage: Eukaryota; Viridiplantae; Streptophyta; Magnoliopsida; Brassicales; Brassicaceae. The record is from RNAcentral.
AAUAAAGUUAUAACUUGUUCAUCUCAUAUUUCGCAGAGGAAUGAGUUGAAUAUCGCAGAGGAAUGAGUUGAAUAGUAUUCAACUUUUU